AGAGUUUGAUCCUGGCUCAGAACGAACGCUGGCGGCGUGCUUAACACAUGCAAGUCGAACGCGAAAAUUUUCCUCGGAAAGUGAGUAGAGUGGCGCACGGGUGAGUAACGCGUAAGUUAUCUACCUCGGCAUUCGGAAUAACUCACCGAAAGGUGUGCUAAUACCGGAUACGUUGAGUAAUCAAGAAAGGUGGCCUCUGAAUAUGCUACUGUGCUGAGAUGAGCUUGCGUACCAUUAGCUAGUUGGUAGGGUAAUGGCCUACCAAGGCAACGAUGGUUAGCGGGUCUGAGAGGAUGAUCCGCCACACUGGAACUGAAACACGGACCAGACUCCUACGGGAGGCAGCAGUGAGGAAUAUUGCGCAAUGGGGGAAACCCUGACGCAGCGACGCCGCGUGGAUGAUGAAGGCCUUCGGGUCGUAAAAUCCUGUCAAGUGGAAAGAAAUGCAUGGUGGCUAAUACCUGCCAUGUUUGACGGUACCACUGAAGGAAGCACCGGCUAACUCCGUGCCAGCAGCCGCGGUAAUACGGAGGAUGCAAGCGUUAUCCGGAUUCAUUGGGUUUAAAGGGUGCGUAGGCGGCUUUUUAAGUCAGUGGUGAAAUCUUGCCGCUUAACGGUAAAAUUGCCAUUGAUACUGAUAAGCUUGAGUACAAUUGAGGUAAGCGGAAUGUGUAGUGUAGCGGUGAAAUGCUUAGAUAUUACACAGAACACCGAUUGCGAAGGCAGCUUACUAAACUGUUACUGACGCUGAUGCACGAAAGCGUGGGGAGCGAACAGGAUUAGAUACCCUGGUAGUCC
Molecule: ribosomal RNA, 798 nt
Filed under: uncultured bacterium
Lineage: Bacteria
Description: bacterial SSU rRNA
Rfam family: Bacterial small subunit ribosomal RNA
Source: RNAcentral